AUACCCGGCCGCCCGCCUCCCGCCGCCGCCUGGCCGGGGGCGCCCGCGCGGCCGCUGCGGUCGCCGUGCCCCCGAGAGGGCGGAGGAUCCAGCCCUUCGCGUCUUGGCUGACAUCUCCGAGCCCCGACCGGCUGGGCUGGGGCCCGGCGGGGUUCCGGGGACCAUCGGACCGGGUCCCCAACCCCACGACGGAGCAGAGCGGACGACCGAAAGAAGCAAGGGGAGGCGAAGCGCUCGGGACCCGGACACCCGCCGUCCGCGGCCGCCGCCUCGCAUCUCUCCACCCCCACCCCAUCCCCGGACAGUGACAGGGAACGGGGUCUCGAGGGGGAUCGCCGAGAGGCAGAACUGACCUGUGGAAAGCGACGCUACGGGUUCACAUAUGUUUUGGAACACACAACUGGGCCAAGGGACAGUCUUCCUGUCGGCGUGGGCGUGAGCUUGUCCUUGGUUGCCAAGGAAACUCUCCACCGCGGGACGCGCCCACCUCACCUUACCCGCUUCCUAAUUGCCUUGAUUUACCGUCUAGCACGACCGGUAUCUUCCAGCCUCUGUGGAGUGUGCAAAAAUAAAUCAGAAUUUUCAGACUCGUGGUAGAGCAGAGCAAGUACGGUAAACACAGUUUUGAGCAGUCGCAACUCACGAAGGUUAUGAGUACAAAACACUGAGCAGGAUGUGAUAUGUGCAUAAAAAUGAGAUAUAAACAUUCAAGAAAUGCCGUGAUCCUCGUUUCACAGAUGAGGAAACAAGCCCGAGGAGAUUAAGGGAGCUGAUUAGAGCUCAGGUAAUGGUAGGCCUGGGACUUGAGCUUCCUUUUUCUGAACAUUGCACGACAAUAUCUAAACUACUCCUCUACUCUCCGGUCCAAAGAAGCAGCUACUCGCACACUACGUGGAAUUAAAUUCCUGGCUCUUCUACUCAUCAGCCAAGUGAACUUGCACAGUUACUUGGGUCCAGGGGGGCUGUAAAAUGGGGAUAAUAAUAGUUUCCAUUUUAUCAGGUUUUCCUGGGGAUUAAAUGAUACGGCACCAUGACCUGUCCCUGUAAGCCAUCAGCCAAGGGUUCUUUUGGAAGAUACUGAUUCUGCCCAGUUGUAAACACAUGACCCGUCUAUCACUCAUGCAUUCAGCCGCUUCAAAUAUGUCUUUGAUGUAGUUACGCUGGGAGGAAGGAGGAGCAGCAAGUGCUUGGGGAGGAGUCUCUGGGCUCCAGCAAAGAGAACCUGCAGGCGUUCCAAGCUCUGCUUCGGAGUUGAGAGGAUCUGACCUCAAGUCUCAAGUUCUGCCUUGAAUCAGCUGUGCCCUUUCCAGGUACAAGCUCCUGUGGUCCAGUUUCCUCACCUAUAAAAUGGGGACGUCAACGUCUUGUUGGAGAAUUACAGUAAAAAUGAAUGAGGGCUUCCCUGGUGGUCCAGUGGUUAAGACUCUGCACUUCCACUGCAGGGGGCAAGGGUUCGAUCCCUGGUCAGGGAAGUUCCGCAGCUGUGGGGUGCGGACAGUAAAAAAAAGGUAUGAUUCAUAAGGGAAAAAACAGAUAAAUUAGAUUUCUCAAAAUUAAAAACUUAGAAAAAAAAUGGAGUGAGAUAACUUAUGCAAACUGUCCAAAAGUGCCUGAUACUCGUAUGCCCGUCUUUUCACCCUAGAUUAUAAGCUUCAGGAAGGUAGGGACUACACCUGCUUCAUUCACUGUCAAGUUCUUAGUGCUGAGUAGAUGCUCAGUGAAUACUUUUUGGAUCACCCGAAGCAAGGAAUUUAAAAGCUGGAGGUUGCCUACUGAAUCCUGGGAAGCUGAGUGAGAAUAUUUUUGCUUUUCUAGAUCUAUUCUGUUAUAGAAAGUGUAAGUGGUUUCAAAAGGUCAUGAAGAUAUAAGACGGUAUGUAAGGACUGGGUAUGUAUGUUAAACACAUGUGACAUCCACGGUCAUUCAAUUCCGUUUACAGGGUUGAAAAUUGGAGACAACACGUAUGCCGGACAAAAGGGGAUUGGACAAGUUACUAAUGGUUUAAUCAUGGUGUUGUUAAAAAUGUUUUAGAGGAAUGUUAAAUGAUGAAUGAAAUAAUCAUAACAUCUUAAGUGGAGAAUCCAAAAUUAGUUCUGAUUUUGUAAGAAAUCAUAUGUAAAUAGAAUAAGUGCAUAGUAUAUACUUAUCUUAAAAGGGAACACAAAUACGGACACCACGUGGGGAAAGUAGGGAGGGUUGGGGGGGAAUGAAUUGGGAGAUUGGGAUUGCCAUAUAUACAUUACUAAUAAGGAAAAAAAACCAAAUUUACACUCUAAAUAUAUGCAGUUUUAUUGUCUGAUUGAUAAAUAAAUAAAUUAAUUAAUUAAAUAAAAUAAAACUGGACUUCUGUUUCCAGGAAUAUAGCAAAACCAAGUCACCCACUGAAAAUUAAAUAAAAUGCUGCAUAAAAUAUUUUUUUAAAUAAAAGGGAACACAAAUACAUCAACAUGUUGCUGGAGAGUUCUCUUUUUCCUUUGACCUUUAUAGUUUCAACUUUUUCAUAAUACCAGUGACUUUUAAAGUAAAAACAAAAUACCGAAUCAUAUUGAAAUUGACAACCAUCCAGAGAACCAGAUACCAGUCACUAAAGAGCAAUAAUGUCGUCUACAUUUUCCACCUCCUGUUCCCAGCUCUGAAAUCUUCCAUUCUGUUACUGCUUCUACCCAACUCUUUUGUUUUUGUUUUUAGUCUUAUAUUUUUCCUUUUUAAUAUUUUUUUUGACGUGGACCAUUUUUAAAGUCUUUAUUGAAUUUGUUACAAUAUUGCUUCUGUUUUAUGUUUUGGUUUUUUGGCCCCAAGGCACCUGGGAUCUUAGCUCCCCGACCAGGGAUCAAAUCACAGCCCCUGCAUUGGAAGGGGAAGUCUUAACCACUGGACCACCAGAGAAGUCCUCCUUCUACCCAACUCUUAAGCUCAAGAAGUCAGCGAGAGACUGCUUUCUUUUUCUUUGUUUCUUUUUCCUUGUCUUAAUAUUCACUUGUGCAUCUGAAUAUUCCCAUCCUUGGUUCUCAGAAGUGCAGAACUUGAUCGUAUUUUGUUUCUAGGAGGCCAUGUGUUUAAGGCAAAGUUAGAGAAAUUUUUACCAGGUACAUACCCUUGUUUCAGAUUAUUCAAACUUUAUGAUUAGUUAUUUAUCUGUCUCUUUACUGCUAAAUUUUAAGUGCCUUGAAUUACCUUUCCCUGCCUGGAUUUAUUUUUUUGUCUUCCGCCUCUCCAAGGCACCUAGAAUAGGCCAGGCAUGUAGCAAACAUUCAAAGGUUUAGACAAUGAAUUAAGCAAAUAUUUGUUGUAACCAAAAAGGGCUCUCCUAGCUUUAUUACAACCUUUACAGCCUUUUAAAAACAUGAAGUAGAAUGUCUUCUUGUGUUCUAUACUCUUCCUCAGUCCUUCUUUUAAGUAGCUUCCUAAUAACCAAUCCAAAGUAUGCCUUACAUGUUCUACCUCCAAAAUGUAUCUUGAAGAACCUACUGUACAGCACAGGGAACCCUACUCAAUACUCUGUAAUGGCCUAUAUGGGAAAAGAAUCUAAAAAAAAUGAGUGGAUAUAUGUAUACGUAUAACUGAUUCACUUUGCUGUAUACCUGAAACUAACACAGCAUUGUAAAUCAACUGUAUACUUCAAUAAAAAUUUUUUAAAUUAAUUAAUUUAAAAAAAUGUAUCUUGAAUCUGCCCACUUUUCUUCUUUCUUUUGAAUCUUCUACGUCAUUAUCAUCUUUAUUCUUAUCUCCUGUAGUGGGUGGAAUAGUAUUCUCCCUCCCCUCCGUGCCCCCCCCCCCAUUCACAUCCACGCAGAGUCUCAGAAUGGACCUUAUUUGGAAAAAGGGUCUUUGCAGAUAUAAUUAGUUAUGGAUAUCAAGAUGACAUCAUUUAUUAGAAGCGGAGAAGACACAGACACAUGGGGAAGAAGACCACGUGGAGACAGAGGCAGAGGUUGGAGUGAUGCAGCCACAAGUCAGGGGACACCCAGGACCACUGGAGCCCCCGGAAGCUAGGAAGGGGCGAGGAAAGAUUCCUCGCUAGAGCCUUCGGAGGGAGCAUGGCCCUACUGAUACCUUGGUUUUGAGCUUCUAGGCUCCAGAGCUGUGCGAGAACGGAUCUCUAUUGAAGCCUCGCAUUUUGUAGUACUCGGCUAGGGCAGCCCCAGGACACUGACACAUCUCCCUACAACCCAGAGUGUAGUUUGUAACACAUCAGGGCUAUGGCUGCUUUGCGUCUUCACUGCUGUGCGUGGGCUUUCUCUAGUGGUGGCGAGCAGGGGCUAUUCUUCGUUGUGGUGCCCAGGCUUCUUAUUGUGGUGGCUUGUCUUGUUGUGGAGCACGGGCUCUAGGCACGCAGACUGCAGUAGUUGCAGUAUGUGGGCCCAGUAGUUGUGGCGCAGAGGCUUAGUUGCUCCGUUGCAUGUGGGAUCUUCCCGGACCAGGGACUGAAUCCAUGUCCCCUGCAUUGGCAGGCAGAUUCUUAACCACUGUGCCACCA
Long non-coding RNA from Hippopotamus amphibius kiboko, 4477 nucleotides. RefSeq lists it as uncharacterized. The transcript has 3 exons. NCBI's taxonomy places the organism in Eukaryota, Metazoa, Chordata, Mammalia, Artiodactyla, Hippopotamidae. The record is from RefSeq and is a predicted model, not a curated record.